This 507-nucleotide ribosomal RNA is filed under the name uncultured bacterium. Its description in RNAcentral is "partial 16S ribosomal RNA". It matches the Rfam family "Bacterial small subunit ribosomal RNA", at positions 29 to 507 of the family's 1533-position model. The record is from RNAcentral.
ACGAACGCUGGCGGCGUGCCUAAUACAUGCAAGUCGAACGCUUCUUUCCUCCCGAGUGCUUGCACUCAAUUGGAAAGAGGAGUGGCGGACGGGUGAGUAACACGUGGGUAACCUACCCAUCAGAGGGGGAUAACACUUGGAAACAGGUGCUAAUACCGCAUAACAGUUUAUGCCGCAUGGCAUAAGAGUGAAAGGCGCUUUCGGGUGUCGUUGAUGGAUGGACCCGUGGUGCAUUAGCUAGUUGGUGAGGUAACGGCUCACCAAGGCCACGAUGCAUAGCCGACCUGAGAGGGUGAUCGGCCACACUGGGACUGAGACACGGCCCAGACUCCUACGGGAGGCAGCAGUAGGGAAUCUUCGGCAAUGGACGAAAGUCUGACCGAGCAACGCCGCGUGAGUGAAGAAGGUUUUCGGAUCGUAAAACUCUGUUGUUAGAGAAGAACAAGGACGUUAGUAACUGAACGUCCCCUGACGGUAUCUAACCAGAAAGCCACGGCUAACUACGUG